GACGAACGCUGGCGGCGUGCUUAACACAUGCAAGUCGAACGGAAAGGCCUGCAGCUUGCUGCGGGUACUCGAGUGGCGAACGGGUGAGUAACACGUGGGUGAUCUGCCUUGCACUUCGGGAUAAGCUUGGGAAACUGGGUCUAAUACCGGAUAGGACAGCUGUUUAGUGUCAGUUGUGGAAAGUUUUUUCGGUGCAAGAUGAGCUCGCUGCCUAUCAGCUUGUUGGUGGGGUAAUGGCCUACCAAGGCGUCGACGGGUAGCCGGCCUGGGAGGGUGUACGGCGACAUUGGGACUGAGAUACGGCCCAGACUCCUACGGGAGGCAGCAGUGGGGAAUAUUGCACAAUGGGCGGAAGCCUGAUGCAGCGACGCCGCGUGGGGGAUGAAGGCCUUCGGGUUGUAAACUCCUUUCGACAGGGACGAAGCUUUUGUGACGGUACCUGUAGAAGAAGCACCGGCUAACUACGUG
RNAcentral lists this ribosomal RNA (468 nucleotides) under uncultured bacterium. Its description in RNAcentral is "partial 16S ribosomal RNA". It matches the Rfam family "Bacterial small subunit ribosomal RNA", at positions 28 to 507 of the family's 1533-position model. The record is from RNAcentral.